AUUGAACGCUGGCGGCAGGCUUAACACAUGCAAGUCGAGCGGGGGAAGGUAGCUUGCUACCGGACCUAGCGGCGGACGGGUGAGUAAUGCUUAGGAAUCUGCCUAUUAGUGGGGGACAACAUCUCGAAAGGGAUGCUAAUACCGCAUACGUCCUACGGGAGAAAGCAGGGGAUCUUCGGACCUUGCGCUAAUAGAUGAGCCUAAGUCGGAUUAGCUAGUUGGUGGGGUAAGGGCCUACCAAGGCGACGAUCUGUAGCGGGUCUGAGAGGAUGAUCCGCCACACUGGGACUGAGACACGGCCCAGACUCCUACGGGAGGCAGCAGUGGGGAAUAUUGGACAAUGGGGGGAACCCUGAUCUAGCCAUGCCGCGUGUGUGAAGAAGGCCUUAUGGUUGUAAAGCACUUUAAGCGAGGAGGAGGCUACUUUAGUUAAUACCUAGAGAUAGUGGACGUUACUCGCAGAAUAAGCACCGGCUAAUUCUGUGCCAGCCGCCGCCGUAA
This 501-nucleotide ribosomal RNA is filed under the name uncultured bacterium. RNAcentral describes it as "partial 16S ribosomal RNA". It matches the Rfam family "Bacterial small subunit ribosomal RNA", at positions 30 to 523 of the family's 1533-position model. The record is from RNAcentral.